GCGAGUUUAUUAAGCUGUCCCCUAUAUCCAGUGCCAUCAUCCCGCAUAGAAGUUCGGAUGGCCGUCUCUAAAAGACUGGAUAUGUAAAGCUGUCCGCCUUCUCUCAGACGGUCGCUGCUGAUAUGGAGAAUGCAAUUCAGGAAAUGGAAAAUCAGGGUGUUCAUUCGUACAUACUGGACCUGAGGAAUAACCCAGGAGGAUUGGUUAAAGCAGGACUUGAUGUUGCCCAAAUAUGGCUUGAUGGAGAUGAGCUC
Cornus florida is the source of this 254-nucleotide long non-coding RNA. RefSeq lists it as uncharacterized. The transcript is spliced from 3 exons. Lineage: Eukaryota; Viridiplantae; Streptophyta; Magnoliopsida; Cornales; Cornaceae. The record is from RefSeq and is a predicted model, not a curated record.